RNAcentral lists this ribosomal RNA (465 nucleotides) under uncultured bacterium. Its description in RNAcentral is "partial 16S ribosomal RNA". It matches the Rfam family "Bacterial small subunit ribosomal RNA", at positions 338 to 795 of the family's 1533-position model. The record is from RNAcentral.
CCUACGGGUGGCAGCAGUGGGGAAUAUUGCGCAAUGGGCGAAAGCCUGACGCAGCGACGCCGCGUGAGGGAUGAAGGUCUUCGGAACGUAAACCUCUGUCAGCAGGGAAGCACGGUCACUGUGCUAAUCAGCAGUGAAUUGACGGUACCUGCAAAGGAAGCACCGGCUAACUCCGUGCCCGCAGCCGCGGUAAUACGGUGGGUGCGUGCGGUAAUCGGAAUUACUGGGAGUAAAGCGCUCGUAGGCGGUAUGUCAAGUCAAGGGUGAAAUCCCCGCGCUCAACGUGGGAACUGCCUUUGAAACUGGCAAACUGGAGUGUGUGAGAGGUUAGUGGAAUUCGAGGUGUAGGAGUGAAAUCCGUAGAUAUCUGGAGGAACAUCAGUGGCGAAGGCGACUAUCUGGCACAUAACUGACGCUGAGGAGCGAAAGCGUGGGUAGCGAACAGGAUUAGAUACCCUUGUAGUC